GAUUUGAAAACAAUUAAAAAAACAGAAGCCCUUUUUAAGGCCAGACGUAAUGAUGAUUUAUCAAUAUUCUAAAGCUAACAACUUUAAAGUCCAGAUAUAUGUUUUAAUACCCUACUCAACACCUUUUAAUUUAUGCCAAGAGAUUUAUUAUUUUUUUCCAUAGUACGUUGAGCGAAAAGAAAAUGCGAAAGACAAAUGCAAUUAUGCGACGCUUGGAAUUUUCCGUUUGUGCCGAACAAACAAAGGCGGAAAAUCCGGAAAAGCCAGAAUGGGAGACUAUGGGUUGUGUGCUCCGACACUUUUCGUUGCCUAGUUAUUGGAGCACAAGCACAAGUUGAUUAGGGAAACGCAGCGGACAUAUGGAAUGUGGCAUACAGAACGUUUACACACAGAGCACCGCCGCCGCAAACAAGCUGUUGGCUUGGAUUAGACUCCACAUCUACAUCCUGCAUUCGUCCAGUUCGCCAGCACUUUUCAAAGUCGCUUGUGUUUGGCGGAGCGGAGAAGAGAAAGCAGGGAAAGUUUUCGGCCUGGUUGAACCCGGACAGUCGAAAAAAGCAAGUCAAGGUGAGCUAUGACGAUGAUAAUGUGACGAUGUGCAAGGAGAAAAUAUAUAACACAAAUUGGCUAUUGUUUGCUGUGGGUUAAGCUAUCAGAAUAGUUAUAUUCAAGGCAUAAUAAAGUGGCUUUUUAAAAAAAUGUUGAACAAUAAUAAACAAUAGAUGUAAUAGAUGAAAGUGCAACAUGAGAACUUCUUUUAAGGGCUCACAAUGUAUUUUUUUAAAUUACUUUAAAUGUGUUAUAUCUAAUAUCCAAGAAACAAGUUGAGAUUUUAGAUAAUGCAAUAGAAUUGGUAAAAUAUAAUAACAACUACUUUUGAUCAUAGCAAAAUAUAUAUAUUUUUGGAUGAAAUUUUUUAUAGCACAAAAGAAGAGAAGGAACGUUUUCAGAGACAUAACUUUUCGGUUUUAGUUUUAAUAAAUAUUUCCCAAAAAAAAAAAAUAUGAAAUCUCUGCGGAUGACUUGUUGAAAUUGUUGGUGUCAUUAUCAUUUCUGAUUUAUUUGCAUAAAUUUGGCAAGCACAUCAGAGGUUAACCCGUUUAGCACUUAAUCAUAUGCAAUGACAAUUUGAAUGCACAGGGACAGCAAAAGGCGAAUGGCUAUGAAAAUUGAAAAGCGCAUUUUAUUAUGGCAAACACGUACGGGAACAGAGCAAAUACAAAUUCCACAGCAGAGACAGCUCUCCGGCAGAAACAACAAUCAGGCAGGAAAAAUAUUUACUGCGUGCGCACCAAAGUAUGCAGCAAGAAAAAUCACAAACGCAGGAUAACGACAAAGGACAUACAUCGGGGUGAAAAGAAGGGGGGCAGGAAAGCAGGAAAGCAGGACGAUGACAAUGUUGAAAAUGACAACUUGGCAACAAUUAUAUUCCAGAACGAGUGUGUGUGUGUUGGCCCGCAUAUGAACAAGAAAAUGGAAACAACAAUGUCAACAGGAUCAACAUGGCGUAUGAGCAACGUUCAAUUGAAAACCCAUUUCGAUUCAAGUAGCACGACAAUACGAUAGACUGUGCUCCAGCACCGCCAUCAAUGUUUUUCCCUCAUUCAUUGGUAGAUUGUGCAGGAAAUUGAGGUAAUUAAACGCUCGAAGAAUCUCUCUCCCGGAAAAUGAAAAACUUUGAGUCCUUUAAUCAGCUCAAAGCAAAAGUUACCUACCUGCAAUACAUUUCUGUUUUGUUUUUUUUUUUUUGUUUUUAGCAGAUCGCGGUGUGCCAGAUGCCAACUACUUAAGUGCUCUGCAUACACAAAUAUGUAUAUAAAAAGUGUUUUAAAUAUAAUUUUGGCCACCCACUGUGGAGCUGCUGCCAUCUCGAGGAUAAAAAAUUCCAUAACUUGCUA
This is a long non-coding RNA of Drosophila elegans, 1898 nucleotides long. RefSeq lists it as uncharacterized. The record is from RefSeq and is a predicted model, not a curated record. The transcript is spliced from 2 exons. NCBI's taxonomy places the organism in Eukaryota, Metazoa, Arthropoda, Insecta, Diptera, Drosophilidae.